RNAcentral lists this transfer RNA (71 nucleotides) under Genlisea aurea. It matches the Rfam family "tRNA". From Rfam's summary of the family: Transfer RNA (tRNA) molecules are approximately 80 nucleotides in length. Their secondary structure includes four short double-helical elements and three loops (D, anti-codon, and T loops). The record is from Rfam by way of RNAcentral. Lineage: Eukaryota; Viridiplantae; Streptophyta; Magnoliopsida; Lamiales; Lentibulariaceae.
UGCGGAUUAAUGUAAUAGUAACAUAUUAGGCUCAUGACCUGAAAAUUUGGGUGCAAAUCCUAAGUCCGUAU